AACUUUUGGCAAUGGAUCACUUGGUUCUGGCAUCGAUGAAGAACGCAGCGAAAUGCGAUAAGUAAUGUGAAUUGCAGAAUUCAGUGAAUCAUCGAAUGUUUGAACGGACAUUGCGCCCUCUGGUAUUCCGCGGGGCAUGCCUGUUCGAGCGUCAUUACAGCCCUCCAGCUCUGCUGGGGAUUGGGCUACACCCGACUGGGUGGGGCUUAAGAUCAGUGGCGGUGCCAUCUGGCUCUAACCGUUGUAAUUCUUCUCGCUCGGGAGAUCUAGGUGUUUGCUUGCCAGCUACCCCCGAUUUAUCAAAGGUUGACCUCGGAUCAGGUAGGGAUACCCGCUGAACAUAAGCAUAUCAAUAAGCGGACGCU
This 365-nucleotide unclassified non-coding RNA is filed under the name uncultured fungus. Its description in RNAcentral is "sequence contains ITS2". The stretch from base 1 to 154 matches the Rfam family "5.8S ribosomal RNA". The record is from RNAcentral. Lineage: Eukaryota; Fungi.